AAGGCAUUUGCCCUGGGCAUUUGGGCGGUGGCGUUUUUUUGCCGCCCCCUGGAAAAUGCCGCCCAAGGCAAAUGCCUUGUUUGUCUCGCGGCUAAAACGCCCGUGAUGCCAUGAUGGGUUAAUUUUCAUUCCUGGGCUGCCAUACGGUCUCAAAGGCAACAUAGGCCCAGCAAAGCAGUCUGGCAAAUUUCAAUGUGCAAACAUGGAAAAGGGGAAAGCCCUACAUUUGAC
Pelobates cultripes (western spadefoot toad) is the source of this 231-nucleotide non-coding RNA. The record is from the annotation of a GenBank genome assembly. NCBI's taxonomy places the organism in Eukaryota, Metazoa, Chordata, Amphibia, Anura, Pelobatidae.